RNAcentral lists this transfer RNA (66 nucleotides) under Aplysia kurodai (Kuroda's sea hare). RNAcentral describes it as "tRNA-Asn". It matches the Rfam family "tRNA". From Rfam's summary of the family: Transfer RNA (tRNA) molecules are approximately 80 nucleotides in length. Their secondary structure includes four short double-helical elements and three loops (D, anti-codon, and T loops). Lineage: Eukaryota; Metazoa; Mollusca; Gastropoda; Aplysiida; Aplysiidae. The record is from RNAcentral.
UAAGGUGUGGCCCAAAUUUAAGGCGUUUAACUGUUAAUUAAAAGAUGCAUCGUAUUGCCUCCUUAA